Molecule: unclassified non-coding RNA, 249 nt
Filed under: Hevea brasiliensis (rubber tree)
Lineage: Eukaryota; Viridiplantae; Streptophyta; Magnoliopsida; Malpighiales; Euphorbiaceae
Source: RNAcentral
GGAAAAUACAACAUUUAAUCAUUUUUCAGGAUAAAAUAAGUUUGAAAUUUCCCAUGAGCAUAUGAAAUAACAUAAAAGAAGAGGGAGAGGGCUCCAAUGGCAGAAGAUGGUCAUUAAUGCUUUCCUGUUUUGUCUUUUACUCCAGAGGCUGAAAAACCCAAAGCAAAAGCAAAAGUGCUUUGAGGAGUAUGCCUCCACACCCAGCCACAAGCAUUAAAUAUUUCACAAAAGAAACCAUAUGAAAACAAA